UAUUAAUUUAUGAAAUUAUUAAUUUAGCUAAUUAUUAACCCAAGUCGUGACUGUUGACUCUAAAAAAAUUGUUAUAUAGUAGGGGUUGCUAAUUUAUUGAAUAUUAAUUUAUAUAUUUCAUGUUGCAAGGACGAUGAUUUAUCAUCUCACUUGAAAAUCAAUUAUUGCCAAUAAAGGUCAAAGUAUUGAACACUUAGAUGCCUCAGCCUUGGCUAUCCAAUAAAUAAAUUUAGAACGUUUUGUGACAUUUGAAACAUGUAUUGAUUUAAUGGUAACUAGUCGCGUAGAGUCGCAGCUAGACACAUCAAAAUUGUUGAUUCCUACCGGCAGCGUAUGCAUUACCAUCACCUCUAAUUGACACAAAGAAAAAGAAAAUAUUAUUUUACUCAUUUGUAUAAUUCGUUUAAGUUUUUGGGCAAUUUAUGUGGAUUUAAUCAAAUUCUAAACGAAUCCUAUCUCUAACUGAUCAAAAUAGCUUGGAUUAUGCUAUUAUAUGGUUCCAUAAUUUAUAGGGUAUACUAACCACACGUUUAGAUCUCUCAAAAUUUCAAUUUGAAUCUUAUAAGUAUAUAUCAUUUUUCUGAAAAUGAAGAAGUUGUACCUUUCCAUAUUUGGAUUGUGAUGAUGACUCUGAUAUAGAGUUAGAAUUCAUGCCCAAGAGUUAUAGGGUGCGUUUGGGAUUGAGGUGCUGUACCUUUUAAGCUACAGCUGCUGUGAAAAAAAAACUGUAAUUAUG
Molecule: long non-coding RNA, 736 nt
Filed under: Citrus x clementina
Lineage: Eukaryota; Viridiplantae; Streptophyta; Magnoliopsida; Sapindales; Rutaceae
Description: Citrus clementina (C. clementina) long non-coding RNA (CCLE_LNC004391)
Source: RNAcentral